Molecule: ribosomal RNA, 504 nt
Filed under: Helicobacter pylori
Lineage: Bacteria; Pseudomonadati; Campylobacterota; Epsilonproteobacteria; Campylobacterales; Helicobacteraceae
Description: bacterial LSU rRNA
Rfam family: Bacterial large subunit ribosomal RNA
Source: RNAcentral
AAAGAGUCCCUCCCGACUGUUUACCAAAAACACAGCACUUUGCCAACUCGUAAGAGGAAGUAUAAGGUGUGACGCCUGCCCGGUGCUCGAAGGUUAAGAGAAUGCGUCAGUCGCAAGAUGAAGCGUUGAAUUGAAGCCCGAGUAAACGGCGGCCGUAACUAUAACGGUCCUAAGGUAGCGAAAUUCCUUGUCGGUUAAAUACCGACCUGCAUGAAUGGCGUAACGAGAUGGGAGCUGUCUCAACCAGAGAUUCAGUGAAAUUGUAGUGGAGGUGAAAAUUCCUCCUACCCGCGGCAAGACGGAAAGACCCCGUGGACCUUUACUACAACUUAGCACUGCUAAUGGGAAUAUCAUGCGCAGGAUAGGUGGGAGGCUUUGAAGUAAGGGCUUUGGCUCUUAUGGAGCCAUCCUUGAGAUACCACCCUUGAUGUUUCUGUUAGCUAACUGGCCUGUGUUAUCCACAGGCAGGACAAUGCUUGGUGGGUAGUUUGACUGGGGCGGUCG